CCUACGGGGUGCUGCAGUGGGGAAUUUUGGACAAUGGGCGCAAGCCUGAUCCAGCUAUUCCGCGUGUGGGAUGACGGCCCUCGGGUUGUAAACCUCUUUUGUCGGGGAGCAAAAGACGCCACGCGUGGCGUUCCGAGAGUACCCGAAGAAAAAGCAUCGGCUAACUCCGUGCCAGCAGCCGCGGUAAUACGGAGGAUGCGAGCGUUAUCCGGAUUUAUUGGGUUUAAAGGGUGCGCAGGCGGAAGAUCAAGUCAGCGGUAAAAUUGAGAGGCUCAACCUCUUCGAGCCGUUGAAACUGGUUUUCUUGAGUGAGCGAGAAGUAUGCGGAAUGCGUGGUGUAGCGGUGAAAUGCAUAGAUAUCACGCAGAACUCCGAUUGCGAAGGCAGCAUACCGGCGCUCAACUGACGCUCAUGCACGAAAGUGUGGGUAUCGAACAGGAUUAGAUACCCUUGUAGUC
RNAcentral lists this ribosomal RNA (458 nucleotides) under uncultured bacterium. RNAcentral describes it as "partial 16S ribosomal RNA". It matches the Rfam family "Bacterial small subunit ribosomal RNA", at positions 338 to 795 of the family's 1533-position model. The record is from RNAcentral.